This 514-nucleotide ribosomal RNA is filed under the name uncultured bacterium. RNAcentral's name for it is "partial 16S ribosomal RNA". It matches the Rfam family "Bacterial small subunit ribosomal RNA", at positions 28 to 523 of the family's 1533-position model. The record is from RNAcentral.
GAUGAACGCUGGCGGCGUGCCUAAUACAUGCAAGUCGAGCGAACAGAUGAGAAGCUUGCUUCUCUGAUGUUAGCGGCGGACGGGUGAGUAACACGUGGGUAACCUACCUAUAAGACUGGGAUAACUCCGGGAAACCGGGGCUAAUACCGGAUAAUAUUUUGAACCGCAUGGUUCAAUAGUGAAAGACGGUUUCGGCUGUCACUUAUAGAUGGACCCGCGCAGUAUUAGCUAGUUGGUAAGGUAACGGCUUACCAAGGCGACGAUACGUAGCCGACCUGAGAGGGGUGUCGGCCACACUGGAACUGAGACACGGUCCAGACUCCUACGGGAGGCAGCAGUAGGGAAUCUUCCGCAAUGGGCGAAAGCCUGACGGAGCAACGCCGCGUGAGUGAUGAAGGUCUUCGGAUCGUAAAACUCUGUUGUUAGGGAAGAACAAAUUUGUUAGUAACUGAACAAGUCUUGACGGUACCUAACCAGAAAGCCACGGCUAACUACGUGCCAGCCGCCGCGGUAA